UACCUCAGCUUCCUCGGCGUGUUCCUUGUGUUCGUUGGCCAUAGGACCCUAUCUCAUCUUUCCAACACGACGGCAAAACAGAAGACUGCUUGAUGGGAAGAUGCGAAGAAUGUGUGAUCAUCAAUUUUCGGGCGGUCGCAGUUGCUUGGGUUCUGCAAAUGCUUUUGCUUGAGAUCCUGACCGAGUUCUUCUUGCGCAACUUGAGUUUUGAGGGACAACUGGGUGUCAUUUUGUAGUGGGUGCCGAGAAUCCUGGUACUAGAGAAGUGGUAGGACCUCACCUUCAUGUUUUAUGCACCGAUGUUUACUGAAGUGGUAGGACCUCACCUUCCAUGUAUGACGCACUGAUGUUUACUAAAUAGGCUGGAAUUUUUUAAACAUAGGAUUAAUAAGAUCAUAUUCUUACUCGAAAGGUUAACGUGUUAUGCCUUCUGAUUUACAAACUCACAAAACCAAAUUCAUUCAAUUUG
This 469-nucleotide long non-coding RNA is filed under the name Triticum aestivum (bread wheat). RNAcentral describes it as "long non-coding RNA (TAES_LNC000665)". Lineage: Eukaryota; Viridiplantae; Streptophyta; Magnoliopsida; Poales; Poaceae. The record is from RNAcentral.